GGUCUCGUAGCUCAGCUGGUACAGCAUGCGCUUACAAAGCGUAAGCGGCGUCCGUGCGUGGGUCCGAAUCCCGCAGAGGCUA
Molecule: non-coding RNA, 82 nt
Organism: Echinostoma caproni
Lineage: Eukaryota; Metazoa; Platyhelminthes; Trematoda; Plagiorchiida; Echinostomatidae
Source: Rfam